UUAUGUUUUAUUUUUAUUAUUGUAUUAUUUCCCUUCUACGUGACUUUACCGAAAGAACCAAGAAGAUGAAUCCCUGCAGUCACGAAAGCUUUAAAUCGAAAUGGGUCUCGUCAGUCAGUCGGUCGCGCUUUGGUGGUUGGUGGGCCAGUUCGUCGCCAUCGUCACGCGUGAUCGCGUUCGCCCCACUCGUCGUCAUCGUCGACACCCCGAAUGCGACCCUUCGGUAGCAGCGCGUCCGCGUGUUCAGCACGCGCCUCGAGACAUCACAAACAUGGGCGGCGAGUGGAGGUGGCGACAACGGCAAUGAAACACUCGAUAAACGUGUCACUGGCCAACUCUCAGAAUGGCAAUGGAACGAAUGCAAUGAAGCUCAAAGCAGGGGACUAAAGAUAGGGUAUCCUACUCUUUGCUUCUUUCGGUAAAGUCACGUAGGUAGAAAAAUAAAGUAAAAAAUAAAAUAUCACGACGUUUCAAAUCCAGAUCGGGUAUCCUGUCUCCAAUUAAAGUUGAACCCACUUAAAUUUAGAUUUAAAGCUUUCGUGACUGCAGGGAUUCAUCUUCUUGGUUAUUUCGGUAAAGUCACGUAGAAGGGAAAUGAUAAAAUAAUAAAAAUAAAACAUAAUAAAAUGCAAUUCUUACGACGUUUCGGCCACAACGCAAGCAGCCGUCCUCAGGUGAAGAACAGGUCUGUCGGAAAGACAGCGUCUGAAUGAACACCACAAAGCUUGGCAGCGUAUAUUUAAGCUGGGUUUUAAAGAUAACACUGUCCGUUGCGCGAACAUUAAUCCUUACCAUAGCAUUAUCCCCGUGCCCUAACGUAUAACGCGAACUUAGAGAAAUACGACAAACUUAGCACAAAUCAUAGCAAUAAUUGUAGCACGAGCAUGGGAGCUAUCUCUCACACUGAUGUUUGGCCAGGUGCUGCCGUUGCAGAGAGCUUGACUCACAGCCAGUAGGACGCAAGUUUUAUUCAAGGUCGGUUGUCUUACUUAACUAAUCCUCCAGGGUGGAUAAAAUAACGCACCAUUUUCUGGGAAGCGAAUAGGGGUUGUGAUAUUUGCCAGAUGUCCCUCUGUCAUAGGAAUGUGGAAUGGUUUAUUAUUGGUUCACGAGGGAAAGACUACCUAAACAGUGCGUGUUUGAGGAUAGAGAUACUUUGACUUUUGGACAAACAUUUUACUUAUUCCAUCUGAAAUAAUAACAUUGGAUUUAACUGAAACGCAGCAAUCGUGUUUAUCCUGAAAUUUGCUCACAGUUUCAACCAAUCCAACUAUACCGCUGACAUUAAACCUAUUCCUAACACGAUUUUUUUUAUCAUCGCCAUCAUCAUUGUCCAUUGUCUCUACACCGAUCGAAGGUUUCCCCAAGCAAUCGCUGUCUAUCAUCGUUUCGUGAUGCAACAAUCCAUGGAGAAAACUGACCAUGAGCUGAUUUUAUCACUCCAUGGUGGACGCCUUCUCGGCUAACCAUUACCCUAACACUAUUCCUAACUUAUAACAACAACACUUAACAACAACAACUUUGCCACGACUGAAACAUUAAUCUUCAACACAAUACAAAAAACGCAAAGUGAUGCUAUCGCUUAUCUUUGUGCACACUUAUACUGCAUUAACAUUAACCCGAGCCCAAGUUGGUCAGUGGCUGCUGCCAGCUCUUACAAGGAGUAUUGGCCGAGUGGAAGAGUAGGCCAAAACAAAAAAAACCCUCCAGAGGGACACUCUCCAGAGCUCGAAGUGCAGCCCCUUCCUCCAGCAGUGGAAUGAGCAAUACAUUUUAGAUCCCUCACACCUACCCACUGCAAUAACCCUAACACUGUCCUAACAUGAACCGUGAUCCCCAGCUCCUUAAACCCCCCAAUCCUUUUCUUAACACAUUAAACCCGCGCUGUGUGAAAGUCGUGCGAAACAAAAUCCUUUAAAUAUAAUUGUGGCGGUUGCGGUCCCUCCACCCAUUUGGAGCUUCGUGGGGGGGUUUUAAUAUCUGCAGCGCUGCACCGCGGCCAAUGUCACUUUAGUAAUAAAAGUGCGCAAUGACUCUUCCUCUUCUUACUCCUCCUCCCUCUUCGCAAAGACCCCCAACCGCCAUCGCAAGCGAAGCCUCGCGCGACGAGGACAUCACACGGUUACCGCGAGACUUGCGACUGGAAUCGUCGUUUCAACCAUUGCCUGCAAGCGUAUUGUUAAUUAGCGAACCCCAGUAAGAUGACAUUUAUUUUGGCGUCUUAUUUUUAUAGAGGUCGAUUCUUUCACAGAUAGCACGCUCAUAAUUAAAGGGAGUUGUGGAUAUGUUCCAGAUUUGAUGGUUAACUAAUAGCGAAAAAAAUAUCCCCAAAUCAGAGCUUGACAUGAAAUUUAAGACGAUCCAAUAAAAACGUUUUGUGGCUUAUUCCUAAGAGAGAAGCGGCGUUGCUAAUAUGACGUUGCUUCGAGCGACGCCACUUUUGUGAGCCUCAAGACACACAACUAAGUAACAAUGUAAAUUAUAGUUUUUGGUUCUUUAAAUGUAAAUGAUCAGAAAUACUAUAUUUAAAAUCUAAAAAAAUGCAUCCUAAAUUUUACUGGAAAAAAAUCUCCAUACUUAAUUUUCUUCUUACAAAAAGGGGGAGAUAUUACAUUAAAAAACACGACCUUUCAUUUAAAGCCACGACACAUCUUCCACCAAUCUCAAUGCACUCAUUCAAUCUUUUAACAAUCUUCUCAAUAAGAGAUUGUGCCAUCGCGUUCACAAUAUCCAAUCACCUACGGAGAAUAAAGAGAGGAUCAUGGUGAAAUCAGUCGGCUACCUACAAAUAUGGUUAUGGCGUGAUCACUAUAUUUAUCGCUAUAUUUGCAAAUAUGGUUGGCUGCUCUUGGUCACAAAAAACAUAUUACUAAUCCUGCAAUUCCUAAGGCAUUUUUGUCGUCUAAAGCGAUCGGCUUUGAAUAUUGAACUGCAGCGUUGUUCUUUCUGUAAAUAGACCCGCUACCUGCCCGCUUAUAGCCGACGUUCUCUAUCCACUGCUGCAUGCUCUUGUGUUCCGCAAGUCUGUGCUGCAAAUUAAUCUGCGCUGAGCAGCACGGGGAAUAUUCUUCCUUGCCGGCCGUGUGUAUCCGUGCGUUCUAGAGCCUUUUUAAAACGCUCUCGCCCCCUGUUAUAUUCCUCCCCCCGCCCCCCCUCUCAACACCCCCCGCUGCAAAGUGUCUAUCACUGGGCACUAAUUGUUUUGUAACUUUCAUUUUCACGCAACGGACAAAAAAAAAACACUGAAAAAAAUGACCACGGUGAGCUGUGUGCGUGGAUGUCUGCUGAAAAGGCGUGUGCGUGGAUGUCUGCUGAAUGACUGGAAGCGAGAUGUCUUGCUGCCUGAGCUGGUAAACACUAUACUGGCAUGGCAAUGUAGAAUAUGGACGGCACAGAAGAAUAGCUUAGCUUAGAAAAAGUUAAGACCCGAGCUGUUUACAUCGGUUUAUGAUGCACACCAUUCUCAAAGGAUACGCAAAUCAAUCGCAAUACGAUACGAUGAAGAGACAUCGAAACAUCUGUCUGGAAUUGUCCGUGGAAUUUAACAACUCGCAUGACAGUAAGAAGAAGAAGAUUGAAACCACACAUAUAGAAUCUGCUGAGCUCAUUUGAAAGCAAACAAGUGUCCAAUGUCAAAAGUCGUUAAAAAUGUAAGAUGAUGACAAAUGAAGGUGAUGACAAGAGCGCCCAAUGGCAUCGGGAAUAUUUUGAGAAAUGAAAAACACCUCGGGACGGAAGAAGAGAAAAAUGGAGAGUCAACAAAAAUAAAUGAAAUCCUCGUGAAGAACACGGUCGCAUCUGCAAGCCCUUUACUCGUACGGAAUGUACAGUGCCACUUUUCGUUUGUUCAAGGAGUCAUUUCUUUUUUGUACCGAGCCUCUUGAAGAAGGCCUUUGGGGAUGACACCAGGCUUGGCUGCAAGGAGGAGGAUCGUCAUGGCGAUGGGAGGGAGGCUGGGGAGCUUGAUGAUGGCAGCGCGCAGAUGUUGCUGGAGGUGAGAAUCGGUCACCGGAGAGAUGGCGAUUGGUUACGAUGCGGGUUGCUACAUUACAAGGGCGGCGUGCGGGGUUGGUGGCUACGGUGGAUUGAAAAUGAUGGAAGAAGCUGCGGCGGUGGUGGUGGUGGCGGUGACGGUGGUCGUGGAAAGACGAGUUCACGUUGUGCUGGUCAAUCAACACGAUGCCCCCACGCAUUUCCAACCGCAAUGGAGCCGACACAUCAGCGAAGGACGUGGCCCCAGCCAUCAUCGGGAUCCACCUCGACCCGCGUCACCCGAAGGGCACGGUCUGAGGUAGAGGCCACAGAAGAAGCAGAAUAGAUCGGCAGUGGCACAGUGGCAAUAAAACCCAUACCUCGUGCCGGUAACAUUCCCAAGUUUGUUCCCUCAAGCCGCUGCUCGGCCUGUCCUAGUCAAGCACAGAAUAUAAUGGUGGUUCAAUAUUUUUUUUUCUUUUAAUUUCCAAAUUUCUGAGCUCUCCCUGGUGCCCGUACUCUCCUCCCACACGCUCCCGUUCAUCGCCAUGAAGGUGGCAUUGGAUAUGAGCAAGGGUGGAGUUGGUCCUCAAGGACGAGGCUCAGCUAUCUAUAGCUUUUGUGGACUUCUCACGGGAAUGUGAACAACCCACAGGAUUCUCCUUGGCCUUUGCACGUGAAGGGGCAUUUGUUAAUUAUCUACGUUGCAGGGAAAAAAAGCGAGAAUGCUACUGCAGUGAAACAAUAUAUGUGCGCGCGCGUGUGUUUGCGGUGUUCGAGUGAAUAUAUACAAGGUAUAUACCAGAAGCGUUUAUCAAAGUCCAUCAUGCUAACAUGUGUGCAGACUGCAACUGCCUCUGCCCAUCGAUUGGCAGUCCCACCGUGGCGAUGUAACAGCGUCCGCUUGUAGGCACGCGGAGGCACUCGGUGCUGGCCAUAAACAAGAUGGGUGAAGUGGAUGUGUUGUUCAAGCAGAAAUGUGUGUGUAAAUCUCUACGGCUGCUGAGAUUCACGGCAGACGGCCUGCUCUAUGAGGGCACACGUGUGAAAGCGAUGUUGGGAAAGCACAUCAAGAAAAUUCUGUGAAAUAAAUAAUGCCAAUAAGACUGGGAACUGUAGGCCACAAACGCUAGCCACCUCCACAGAUGCACAGACAGAUGAACACAUAAUUCAGGCCAUCCUCCUCGACAGAUGCGGAUCGCUGAUGCACACAUUGUAAAUGAUAAACUCUCCAGUCGUGUGCGACUGUGGUCAUCCCGAACAGAGAGCGUACAACGUAUAACCACGCAACGACCCGAUCCACAAAAUACACUCCUCCUGAACGCAGUUAUCCGGCUUGACCGCCUGAAUGUGAAAUUGUAGUUGUUGCUCUGCAUCUACUACAUCAGCAGCCAUACGAAAGAAGAAGACGGCCGUCCUCCUCACGUUAUAGGCAGAGUAGAGAGGCCCAUUGUAGAUUGGUGUGAAAUUGGAAAGGCACAGGGUGUGUAACACGAUUGGUGCAACACGAUGUGAUUCGUUUGUCAAUGCAAUAGAUGGAAUUAUAACCAUGAUGUAUUCAAUUUGGUGUUAUGAUUACAGCAGUUUAUCAAUCGGGCAGGAAGGGUGACUAACUACUACACUUUGUGGGAUGCGUGUCUACUGUCAAAUUGUGCUUAAAAGCACUUUGAUCAAUACCUUCAAUGCAUUUUUAAGUUUACAAAAAUACUUUGCGAACAUAUAUACGUUUCUGUUAUUGGAGAGGAAGAAACUUUGAUUUGUAUCCAUUUUCUUCAAGGUAACUUUUAAAACACUCUACCUUGAAGAUAAUGGAUGCUGCCGCAGUGUUGUGAUGGUCAGCACGCUGGGCCUGCAAUCCAGAGGUCGCCGGUUCACGCCAACGCCACGGCCCUUGAAACAGUGGCGCGAAAAUAAUUGCCCAUCUCUGGCUUCUGUCCCCCAAGCAGUAUAAAUGGGCUCGCCACGGGUACUCGAUUGUAAGGUCACGUGAGGUACGGUAAAAGUCUGCAUACUCGCGCCUCUUCCAAUGUGUCUGGCCGGCGUGGAGAAGUAGGCCAAAACUAUCCUCUCUAGAGGGAGCUCUGUAGAGAGUUCUAAAGAGCGCUCUGCCUCUAUCAGUGUACGAGCAAUACAUUGCAGGCCCGGACCUCUUUCGCUUACCUUCAAGGAAUCAUCCCGGCUUCAACAUUGAUUUAUUCCUUUCCAUUGGUGGGGAUUUUUUUUUUAAUGUUUACUUUUACACGUGUAUAAUAUACACACAUCUCCAUAGUCACAUGGGGCAAUCACAAUGUUUUUAGAAUGGGAUUCUGAAACAAAUCAGGUUGGCGUCACGUGACACGAUUUCUCUCUCAUCCACCGGUUUGGCAUUAGUCUCAGUCGUGCUUCGUGAUGCCACGUGGAGAGUUCCACAGAGGGGGCAACCUCACAGUCAAAAUAUAAACGCCACCCGAUUCAUAAACAUGGGCUUCCAUAUUGCGGGUAGUCAUCUGCAGCUUGUUUACGAAACAAAACAAGUGGUGGGACACAGACGAGUCUGAAUUGCGCCGUCAACCACCGCAGCAGCGCAGACGGAAGAGUCGGUCAGAGUACGUCAUGAAAUGCCACGACAUCGCAAUUAUCCACCCCCCCCCCCCCUUAUCAAGAAAGAGUGUAAAGAUGAUUUCUAUCAAUGACAGUUCUAAUUGGUUUACAUACCGGGGCCAAGGACAAAAUCAAUGUCAUGAUUACACGAAUGAUUCCAGAUUUAAAAUCGGUCGCAUUCCGGGAUGCUUUGGUCGCGGGCGUGAUGCAAGAAGGUCACCCACAUCUUGAACGUAUCGACAAUGUACUGUACGACAAAGGCACCUGUACCAGAUUCAUUUAAUAAGCCCUCUCUUUUUUUAAAUGGAAAAACGUUGAUGAGCCACGGCGUAUAUUUUAGAAUAUCCCAAAAAAACUGCCUCAUUUGCUAAGUAGAAUCUUCUUUGCAACCCAAUUUUUUAUAAGUGGGUUGCAAGUGGGUGUCCAGGUGGAGAGAUCUUAUCUGCUUCGCCUGGUUUACAGGAGGUUGUGUGUUCAACCACAACCCUGACGCAUGUAUGUUUGGAGUUUGCAUGUUCUCCCCGUGGUCGCGUGGAUUCUUCUCCAUGUCCUCCGGUUGUCCCAUCGUCCUUUAGAAACAUAUGUUUAGAAAAUUUGGCUGCUAUACAUUUCCACAUAAGGCACUUCGUUCAGCUAUCAUUUGUGGCCAGGUCGCUUCUGAAAAAGAGCUAUAAAGCUCAGUGGGUCUUAGCUGGUAAAAUAAAAAAUAGUUUAGUUUAAAAUUUCCUGAUAGAUGGUCGCACAAUUAACUUGAUAAUUUACUUUUUUGUCUUCAUCCACUUAACCUGCCUGAUGUAAACAAUACGCCGACUUAAUGGAUUAUCACGUUUUUCCAGGAUACUUCCUCAUAAGGGGGUUUGCCAACUCCGAUCACGGGCAGAUGAAUAUCUCACAAUGCCCGGAAGAGGGGCGGAACUGCAUGUAAAUGCAUCAUCUUGUUGUUGAACAAACGACAAAAAAACCUGGAACUUUUAAUGUCCCGGAAAGACUUGCAGAUUUCCCAGGAGGGCAGCUACCAACUAAAAGAGGACAAUCCUGGGAAAACCAGGACAGGUGGCAAUAUUACCGUCAUAUGAUCGUUUUUUUGUGCACUAAUCGGUGACUAGGCUGAGAUCAUUGCCUCGCGAGGCAUGAUAAUCUAAUAAUUGGUUUGGAGCUCUGACAUGGCCUUCACAAACUCCCCGAGUCAUCUGGUUCUGAAGCCCCCCGCCCCUCCACCUGUAUGUACAAAUCAAGUGCCACAACAUUACACGAGGUAGAAUAAGCAUGCGGUGACUAUUGGCAAAGUUCCAGGAGUGAGCUGGUACAUGGAGUGAUGUACUUUUAUUAUCCCGUUCUCAAAACCAUUCUGAUUCCCCCCCUGUAGAAAAUGAUUAAAACCAUGGCAUGCGUAGUAUACGGUAUACGCUAUCAGAUUGUGCACCGGUGGUGCGGUUGGUAAUUAAUUCGUUGAAACUUAACGCAAACUAUUUGAGAAUCAAAAGAAUCGGGUGGCGGACAAGGAACUCAAGUUCGUCAUCACUGUCCUCGUCGUACAUUCAACAAGCCGAGCGAUGACCAUGGAUGGCGUUCGCUGGACCGGGAAAAUUCACCGACUCGAAUCAGCAGCAUCUGAAAAGAAUGUCCUAAACUGAAAAUGUGAAGAUGACAAAAUCAUCGUUUGAUGAGAUACACGCGCUUUCACACAAUAUGCCGUAGGACUGUUGGGUGGGUAUGUGGGGGGGGGGGGGGGUCGAUUAUUGAUGAAAUUGUGAAACUGUCAUCGCAGUGUGGAAAAGUACAGACAGUGAACAUACUCGAGAGGCAGACACCCGCAGCGGGGACCGUCAGUCGAUAUUCUCGUCUCGUACACCUUCAGUACGCAGAUUUCGUGGCCGCAGAGUUCGCCAUGCGGACAUCUCUCCAUCUUUAUCUCUCUCUCCGUGAUCUCAGCUGCCGAGCGAGAGAUGGACGGCGCUCAGUUUUUAAGCAACGUUGCAUGCCCUCUUUUGUGAACGGCUCAAACUUGAAUUCAUUUAUCGCCUUUAUUUAUCAUUCAUAAGCAGGGAUUGUUGCCUUCUUGAAAAAAAUAACUGUCGUGCUUUUUUUUUUAAAAGUCGAACUUUUUUUGCGUUUAUCCACCCCAGCCUACGGUGUUGCUGGAGGACGGGGAGAUAAAAAAAAUUAAUGAAUGUGUCAUUUAUUUAAUGUAACUUACGAUUUUUGUUGUUGUUGUUGUUGCCGUCUUACUUUCGUUGCGAGAAAUUUUCCUCGCCGUUUUCUUGCCUUUUUUCACGGCCACCGGGCCGCCUAAUGUCGUGCUCUGCUUCGCCAAAAGGCCAAGCUUGGUCGGUUUUUUUCACGCGCGUACGCGCGGCCCCACGACUCCACGCAGCAUGAAUGAGCGCGCCGCCAGGGCCAGUCACGGCCGUCGACUUCACUCGCACGCGCGGCGACCGUCUCCUGCCACGCGACCUCUCGUUGACCCGGCCACCGCGGACUCGUGGCCAAAAAAAAUCGGCCAUCGUUCGUCCGUCGUGGCUGAGAUUUUUUUGAAAAAAGGGGAAACGCCGACUGGUCGUCGCGAGCAAAGCUACGGCACGCGCAACGCUGCCCCUUUACACUUUUGAGCUCACUUUAAUACGCGAGACAAAACAUGCGGUAAUUCUGUGAUGAGACGCCAUAUCAGUGUCACUGUAUUUUGUAAAGCAGACCCGGGGCUCGAGACAAAGGACUGCGUUGGUUUUCAAGGUCGCGCUGUACAGCUCCCGGCGAUGUCCGUUUUCCGGUUGCACCGCCGCGUGUUGUCCGGCGCCAAGUCCGACGUUUCGCGCCGCGCGCAUCGAGACGGGAAAGGAGCUGCCAGCACGCGUGGGGCGAGACGUGAGACGUAAUGCCGUACAAGACGCGGCUCAAACCCGAAAAACGCACAUCUGAGAGCUAAGGAUGGUUUAUUUUAAAAUGAGCAGUGCGCGGGGUUCAAAGUUGAUAUUUGGGCUGUGACUUUCGCACAAUGGUCUACACGCACAGAGUGGCACCACGGUGUCUUUGGCAUCGGCGGGUGCUCCAGUUGGGUUCGUUGUAAUAGAAUUGACUUUCGGGGUAUACCCAGCCACCUGAUUGCAAACAUGUUUUCCCCAAUUAUUUUAAAGACUUGUGUCGCACUGAAUGUGAUUAAUUGAGAAUCAGAUUAGAGCGGUAAUUUUUUCUUAUAAAGUACAUUUAUUCCAGAUGCAGUCACGCCAAUUUGCCACACUUAGUAUUGGUGAUGAAUGAUGAAGCAGAAAUAGAUUAGUACGCACGCAUCUCUUUCAAGAGAGGCUGGGGAAAUAUUGUAAAAAUAUUAAUUACAAGAAAACAUUUAAAACUUCGUAAGAUGCGUAAUAACCGCGAAAAGGCAAAUCGCUGUGAAAUCAGCACGAAACACAAGACGCUUUCAAACGCGUUACAAUUUGACAGUGGAAUUGAACUCAUUUACAUGGAGAUAAUUAUAUAUACACAAACUUCAAGAGUUAACCAAUGUACAGUUGUGCAAAAGAUAAAAUAUAUAUGUAUGAUUUGAACUCGAGGGCUGUGGGGGAUUGUGGUAGACAAUGAGUGAUUUACCCAAACAGAAUGAUGUUUUGUUCAUUUGAAGUGGCCACAUAGCCACAAGCUUUGUGCAUGCCUUCUGUAAAUCUGGCAAUUUUUAGUAAAAAAAAAAGAAAAAAGAAUUAAAAUGUAAAAAAAAGAAUCACAAGGCUAUAGUAUUUAUAUUAUAUACAAUGUCUGCAGAAGCUACGGACACUUUUACCAGCAUUCACGAUGUUUUGCCCAGUAUUGUUAAAGUGUGUGUUUUCAUGUAAAACUAAAAAAAAUUACAUUAUUACUCUAAUUGAUAACAACGAUAAUUAUGAUAUUGUUUAAGUUUACUUUGCAAAAAAUUUUGCAUGUGAAUUGAGACAUAAACUAUGCAGAUAGAUAAGCAAAUGUGGAUGUUAUUUCACUCAUUAAUGAUGACGUGACCGCC
Lethenteron reissneri (Far Eastern brook lamprey) is the source of this 10540-nucleotide long non-coding RNA. RefSeq lists it as uncharacterized. The record is from RefSeq and is a predicted model, not a curated record. Lineage: Eukaryota; Metazoa; Chordata; Hyperoartia; Petromyzontiformes; Petromyzontidae.